AACUCGGCCCUUUUCAGGGCCCCAAAUUCUCAAAAAAGAGAAUAGU
Lottia gigantea (owl limpet) is the source of this 46-nucleotide non-coding RNA. NCBI's taxonomy places the organism in Eukaryota, Metazoa, Mollusca, Gastropoda, Lottiidae. The record is from Rfam.